GAAGAACCGCUGAAAAAGGCAACUUAUUUAAUGGUUACUGGUCAGCAGGAUAACCGAAGAAUCCUCAUGAUUAAUGUUUUUAAUUAUUUAAAAUACUUUCUAGAAAACAACAAAAUUAAGAAAAUUAUUAAUAAAAAAACACAUCACAUUUUCCUCUCUGUUCUCUAUAAAUUGGCAGACAAGGGUGGUGUUGGGGUCUGCUUUGAUAUUUGUUUUUUAGUUUUUCCUCUCUACAAAACCGUAAUUAAAAACCCCACAACCUCUCCAUCUUUCGUUGCAUUCACGUUUCAACAGGCUCCCUUCUAUAUCGCCCAUUUAAUAGCUUUGAACCAGUUUCUCAAGUACAAAAACGUCGAUGGCCGUUGAAGCUCACCAUUUAAAUCAUCUAUAUUCUUCUAAUAACAGAGAAAGGAUGAAUCCCGUUGAAGCCAACGGUUUAGUCUAUAACACCCAAAUGAGAUAUAACACUGUUCAAGCGACGACAGUGUUAAUCGAUACGCGUUAAGAACACGCAUGUGUUGUCCCUUUCUUAUCAAGGAAACGCAAAUUAUAAUUUUAUAUAGAAGUAUAUAAGUAUUUGACUGCCUCCAUUCCACCCAACACCAUCACCACAGCCCAUUCGUAUUUAAAUAGUUUUUCUUGGUUAUAAAAUACUCCCUCCGUUCCUAAAAAAUGUAUGUUCUGGAAAAAAAAUUUGUUUUAAAAAGAUACAUUUUUUACUUUUUCAAUGUAUGAUUUUAUGAAAAAUUGUAAGUUUCAAAAAAAUUAAUAGUGUUUAUUGAAAUUCUAUUGACUUAAAGUUAUGGAAAAUUGUUAUUUAAUUACAAAAAACAAUGCAUAUUUAACGAAUUUUCUUAAUAUAUGUGAAAAAUCUAGAAUAUGCAUCUUUUAAAAACAGAGGGAGUAAUGUAUUGUAUUGCAAAAAAUAAAAUAAAAUACUUUAUUGCAAUGUCAAUAUGUUUGGUUAAGUCAUUCAAUGCUGUAUUUAUAUGCUAUCAUGCAAUCAACCACGGCAUCUUUAAGUAACAUGAUAAGGAUUAUGAACUCGUAGGAAGUUUGACUGGGAAUAAAUAUUUAACUUUAUUUUUAAUGUAACGUUACUAAGUUAAUACGCUCCUAAAAUGUAAUGUAUAGGAUGGAAAAAAGUAGAGCGAGGCUUCGAAGAACGAGGGACCGUUUCUGAAGCAUGUGAAAAUGUAGCUAGUUCACGUUCUCUCAUAACCCCAACUUUUAAAGUAGAGAUUAUUAAGUUUUGUCUUCUUACAUCUUUUUGAAUGCAGAGUUGUUGAUAUAUAAAAACAAAUGUUGUUAAACAAAAUCAAAUGGUGAAACAUUUAUAUCAACAGGAAGCGAUCGAAUGAAAUUUACCGCUAGGACAGCACUGU
Brassica napus (rape) is the source of this 1385-nucleotide long non-coding RNA. RefSeq lists it as uncharacterized. NCBI's taxonomy places the organism in Eukaryota, Viridiplantae, Streptophyta, Magnoliopsida, Brassicales, Brassicaceae. The transcript is spliced from 2 exons. The record is from RefSeq and is a predicted model, not a curated record.